UACGGGGGGGGCAAGCGUUGUUCGGAAUUACUGGGCGUAAAGGGCUCGUAGGCGGCCCUCUCAGUCGGAUGUGAAAUCCCCAGGCUUAACCUGGGAACGGCAUCCGAUACUGGAGGGCUUGAAUUCGGGAGAGGGAUGCGGAAUUCCAGGUGUAGCGGUGAAAUGCGUAGAUAUCUGGAGGAACACCGGUGGCGAAGGCGGCAUCCUGGACCGGCAUUGACGCUGAGGAGCGAAAGCCAGGGGAGCAAACGGG
RNAcentral lists this ribosomal RNA (253 nucleotides) under uncultured bacterium. RNAcentral's name for it is "partial 16S ribosomal RNA". It matches the Rfam family "Bacterial small subunit ribosomal RNA", at positions 524 to 776 of the family's 1533-position model. The record is from RNAcentral.